UACGUAGGGGGCAAGCGUUGUCCGGAUUUAUUGGGCGUAAAGAGCGUGUAGGCGGUCCGGUAAGUCCGCUGUGAAAGUCGGGGGCUCAACCCUCGAAUGCCGGUGGAUACUGUCGGGCUAGAGUGCGGAAGAGGCGAGUGGAAUUCCUGGUGUAGCGGUGAAAUGCGCAGAUAUCAGGAGGAACACCAAUUGCGAAGGCAGCUCGCUGGGACGUUACUGACGCUGAGACGCGAAAGCGUGGGGAGCAAACAGG
This 253-nucleotide ribosomal RNA is filed under the name uncultured bacterium. Its description in RNAcentral is "partial 16S ribosomal RNA". It matches the Rfam family "Bacterial small subunit ribosomal RNA", at positions 524 to 776 of the family's 1533-position model. The record is from RNAcentral.